Molecule: long non-coding RNA, 407 nt
Organism: Diabrotica virgifera virgifera (western corn rootworm)
Lineage: Eukaryota; Metazoa; Arthropoda; Insecta; Coleoptera; Chrysomelidae
Exons: 2
Source: RefSeq, a predicted model, not a curated record
AUUUUCUGCUAAUAUUUCAUAAAAGUAAGUAAGUACUCUUUAAAAACCUACUGUGUGGCUAGUUAGUAACUUUUAGUUGCAUUAGAAGAUUGUUUUCUGAAGAUAAGAUGGGGAUAGCUAGUGUCGCUCUCUUGCCUCUAAGUAUAACACAAAGUGUAAUUUUUCACAUAAUUAAACUUUUUUUCUUGCCGCUAUUGCCAAUCUACAUUCCAGUGAUGUUAGCUAUAAAAGCAGCUCUAGGAGGCUUACGUCUUGGAAAAUGGACUGCUUUAUUGCCGUUUAGACUUAUUUAUACAAUAUUUAUUAGACCCAUAUUGAGCCUUUUAUUUUAAAUAAUUUAAGAAGAUAUAUAAAUGUUAUCGAAUUCCUGUGUAGUAUUCUUUGAAAAUAAAUGGUGUUAUUAAGUA